This 1988-nucleotide long non-coding RNA is filed under the name Sinocyclocheilus grahami. RNAcentral describes it as "lncRNA (ENSSGRG00000041805.1)". Lineage: Eukaryota; Metazoa; Chordata; Actinopteri; Cypriniformes; Cyprinidae. The record is from RNAcentral.
UGUUAUUCUGCGGCCAAAUGAUGUCUAAAAUGCUGUCUAGAUAGGCAGCUCACUAGGUAUUGAGACACGGCCACUCUUUCAGCUGAUAAAAACUCUGGAAAAACUGGAAAACCACAUCUCAGACGUCUGUUUUGUUUUACUCCACUCUUGACACUUUUUAUGUACAACGCCCGGUGUUUAUUUAGGUUAUUAUUGUUGUCUGUGAAAAUAAAAGGCUUUUCUUUGCUUGUCUAGACAAAUGAGCUGUGAGCAGCUCUUCAGUUGAGCUGUGAAGUGCGAGUCAGAUUUUCCAAUAGCUCAUUUAUGAAAAGCACGGGAGCUCCUUUUCUGCCUGCUGAUCUGUAAUAGUCUGUGACUGUGAGUAUGCUGUUGCUCCAGAACAGAAUGAGAAGGAAUUGUUUGUCCUGGUGCCUUUUCCUGCUGUUUGUCUGGUACCCAGCGGGCAGCGUAGUGACGGAGAUUGAGCUGGAGGAUUCGGACUGGAACUGGGGUUCUGGAUUACACGAACUCCUAAACAGCUUUCCAGCUGAUAGUCCAUUUGUCAGAGAGACGCCUGGCAGGCCAGCCAACUGCACUCAGCGCUUCUGGCUUCCUCCAUCCUCCCCUGUGUGCUGGGAUGAUAUAGCGGGCCCAGAGGAGUUUGAGAAGUCCCGCAUUCUCGUGCUGCAGAACAGGGCGGCACUGCAGGCCGUAUCGACAUCUAGUGGUCUCGAGGAAGGGGGUGCGUCCUACGAUCAACAGGCCAGGGAGAACAUGCAGGGCGUCCGGGCUGACCAUCUCGUUGUGGCCCAGACGGCUGAUACAAUGCAGAAGGUGUUCAUGGAUUUGGAUGAGAAGAGGAAGGAGGGGAAAGAGCAUUAUACCUUCUCAAGUCUGAAGGAGCAAAUUGACAACACGAAAGACUCCAUUGCUAAAAAGGAGCAAGUAGCAGCUCUUCUAGAGAAACAUCUUGCCAAUCUGGAGAGGUCUUUGAACACUAUGCAGCUUCAAUUGGCCAAACUACUUCCCCAGUAAUUUCAUUUGAGCAGCACAACCUACACAUGUGGAAAAUAAUAUAAUGCAUGUUUUAUUAUUACAUUUGAUCAAACACAUAAGACUUGUAUGACCAUGUACUGCAUGCCAACAGCACCCUGUAUUUCUCUUUUGCGUAUUUUCCUCUUGUUUUUCCACUCCAUUAAGUAAAUGGGAUAAAUAUUCGGUAAUGGCAAUAAAAUCUAUUUUUAUACCCCCAGACUAUAUACUGUUCCCUACGAAUGUAAGGUACAAUUAUAUUACACGUAAUAAAAAAACAACACAACAGUUCACUUUCAAAAGUUUUGCAUGUCAUAGAUUCUGACUGAUUGUCAUAUUAAAAAUAAGAUUAUAGUGAACACAUAAUCAGCAAAAGUAUUUAUUCAAAAACAAAAUUCAGACUGUUCAAGCAUUUAAAAACUAUACAGUACACUAUAUAAAUCUUCAACUGCAGUCUAGAGUCAAGUAUUAAUCAAAUGCAUUUUUAUCCCCAGUGGUUAAAAUGUUAAAGCAUAGCCAUGAAAUAUACCUCUAAGAUACAUUUUAAACCAUGAGAAAAACAUUUUCAAUUUGUAGACAUACGAGCAAGGUCUGAUUUCACAUUGAAUGGAAUGAAUUGUAUACAUGUUUGGAUCUUCCCUAAACAUACAAAUCAUGGUGUCAAGCAGUAAUAAAACACCAAUGAUGAAUGACAAAACCCCAUAUAACCUGGUUUCCAGUACUCACAGUGGUUCGGUUGUGAAUCUGCAGCGGCUAUUGGACAUUGACACACGACAUAGUGUAAGUGGUGCUAAAACAUACAGACUACAUUAAGUAAAACAUGCACAUUACCUCUCUAAAACAACAGAGGUGUAAAAGUACAACUCUUAGGGUGAAAUGUCCUGAUUUGUAAGACGAUGCCCUAUGAUUUUAUCCACGGUUUUAGUGAGGAAGUUGUCUAAAACAAUAUUUGAACAUUUUUUGCUGUAUUGCAGAGA